This 70-nucleotide transfer RNA is filed under the name Triticum aestivum (bread wheat). RNAcentral's name for it is "tRNA_GluCTC". Lineage: Eukaryota; Viridiplantae; Streptophyta; Magnoliopsida; Poales; Poaceae. The record is from RNAcentral.
UCCACUGCCCAGUUGGUAAAGCACAAAGCUCUCAACCUUGUGGGCGUGGGUUCAAGCCCCAUGAUUGGAG